Molecule: non-coding RNA, 279 nt
Organism: Pelobates cultripes (western spadefoot toad)
Lineage: Eukaryota; Metazoa; Chordata; Amphibia; Anura; Pelobatidae
Source: the annotation of a GenBank genome assembly
UAAACCCUAACCUCUAGUUUGGUAGGGGCGCCUCUUAACACCAUAAUUACACCUUGUAUGUCUCUUAUUUCCCUCUGUGCCUGUUAUUAAACCCAUUGUUUGCCUGUUACAUACCGUAUCCUUUGUUUGUCUCUUAACCCCCCAUUACCUCUAUUAUUACCCUUUAUCCUUUGUUGAGCUGUGGAGUUGUGCUGGGACACACGAAAACCAGGUGUGUUUGUGUGUGUUUAUAGGUGAUGGAGUAUAUAUGUGUAUGAAAUCACUGAAAGAGAGCACAAC